UAAUACGUAGGGGGCAAGCGUUGUCCGGAAUCAUUGGGCGUAAAGCGCGUGUAGGCGGUUACGUAAGUCUGCUGUGAAAGUCGGAGGCUCAACCUUCGAAAGCCGGUGGAUACUGCGUGACUAGAGUACGGAAGAGGAGAGUGGAAUUCCUGGUGUAGCGGUGAAAUGCGCAGAUAUCAGGAGGAACACCAACGGCGAAGGCAGCUCUCUGGGACGUUACUGACGCUGAGACGCGAAAGCGUGGGGAGCAAACAGGAUUAGAUACCCUGGUAGUCCACGCCGUAAACGAUGGUCACUAGAUGUGGGGGGUGUCGACUCCCCCCGUGUCGUAGCUAACGCGUUAAGUGACCCGCCUGGGGAGUACGGCCGCAAGGCUA
This 377-nucleotide ribosomal RNA is filed under the name uncultured bacterium. RNAcentral describes it as "bacterial SSU rRNA". It matches the Rfam family "Bacterial small subunit ribosomal RNA", at positions 521 to 896 of the family's 1533-position model. The record is from RNAcentral.